AUGAACGCUGGCGGCAGGCCUAACACAUGCAAGUCGAACGGAGUUAUAUUGUAGCUUGCUAUGGUAUAACUUAGUGGCAGACGGGUGAGUAAUGUAUAGGAAUCUACCUAGUAGUACGGAAUAAUUGUUGGAAACGGCAACUAAUACCGUAUACGCCCUACGGGAGAAAAAUUUAUUGCUAUUAGAUGAGCCUAUAUUAGAUUAGCUAGUUGGUGGAGUAAUAGCCUACCAAGGCAAUGAUCUAUAGCUGAUCUGAGAGGAUGAUCAGCCACACUGGAACUGAGAUACGGUCCAGACUCCUACGGGAGGCAGCAGUGGGGAAUAUUGGACAAUGGGCGAAAGCCUGAUUCAGCCAUGCCGCAUGAGUGAAGAAGGCCUUUGGGUUGUAAAGCUCUUUUAGUGAGGAAGAUAAUGACGGUACUCACAGAAGAAGUCCUGGCUAACUCCGUGCCAGCAGCCGCGGUAAUACGGAGAGGGCUAGCGUUAUUCGGAAUUAUUGGGCGUAAAGGGCGCGUAGGCGGAUUAGUAAGUUAAAAGUGAAAUCCCAAGGCUCAACCUUGGAAUUGCUUUUAAAACUGCUAAUCUAGAGAUG
This 592-nucleotide ribosomal RNA is filed under the name uncultured bacterium. RNAcentral's name for it is "bacterial SSU rRNA". It matches the Rfam family "Bacterial small subunit ribosomal RNA", at positions 29 to 649 of the family's 1533-position model. The record is from RNAcentral.